GCCGGGCGUGGUGGCGUGUGCCUGUAAUCCCAGCUACUCAGGAGGCUGAGGCAGGAGAAUUGCUUGAACCCAGGAGGCAGAGGUUGCAGUGAGCCGAGAUCCUGCCAGUGCACUCCAGCCUGGGUGACAGAGCAAGACUCUGUAUUAAAAAAAGAAACCAACUUCAAUGUCCUAUUUUUUUUUUUUUUUUUUUUUUGAGUUUCACUCUUGUUGCCCAGGCUGAAGUGCAGUGGCGCAAUCUCGGCUCACUGCAACCUCUGACUCCCGGAUUCAAGCAAUUCUCCUGCCUCA
RNAcentral lists this signal recognition particle RNA (291 nucleotides) under Pan troglodytes (chimpanzee). It matches the Rfam family "Metazoan signal recognition particle RNA". From Rfam's summary of the family: The signal recognition particle (SRP) is a universally conserved ribonucleoprotein. It is involved in the co-translational targeting of proteins to membranes. Lineage: Eukaryota; Metazoa; Chordata; Mammalia; Primates; Hominidae. The record is from RNAcentral.